GUAUGUAGCGGUGAUGACAGAUUUGUGGACUAGAGUUUCUGACGCUGCCGCCUCUUCAGCAGCGUCUGCAGACAACCCCUUGGCUGUCUGAGCUCCCAC
Non-coding RNA from Triticum aestivum (bread wheat), 99 nucleotides. Lineage: Eukaryota; Viridiplantae; Streptophyta; Magnoliopsida; Poales; Poaceae. The record is from Rfam.